AUCUUAAUGAGAGUUUGAUCCUGGCUCAGGACGAACGCUGGCGGCGUGCCUAAUACAUGCAAGUAGAACGCUGAGGACUGGUGCUUGCACCGGU
Molecule: ribosomal RNA, 94 nt
Filed under: Streptococcus dysgalactiae subsp. equisimilis
Lineage: Bacteria; Bacillati; Bacillota; Bacilli; Lactobacillales; Streptococcaceae
Description: partial 16S ribosomal RNA
Rfam family: Bacterial small subunit ribosomal RNA
Source: RNAcentral